UUUCUGAGGUCCCAAAAUUUCACCAGUUUACUACAGACCUCUGUUUCCUCCUUCACCAAAAUGUAAAGCCUAAAGACCUAACAAUAGGAAGAAAAUGGGGCUCCAAAUGACCAGCAGAAAGAUUAUGCGGGUUUUGUUUAUCUCGAAACAAUCAAUUUUUCGUCGAUUAUCGGCACCCCAACAGGUUCUUAUCAUUUGUG
RNAcentral lists this long non-coding RNA (200 nucleotides) under Capsicum annuum. RNAcentral's name for it is "long non-coding RNA (CANN_LNC005403)". Lineage: Eukaryota; Viridiplantae; Streptophyta; Magnoliopsida; Solanales; Solanaceae. The record is from RNAcentral.